Molecule: RNA transcript, 5892 nt
Organism: Zea mays
Lineage: Eukaryota; Viridiplantae; Streptophyta; Magnoliopsida; Poales; Poaceae
Exons: 4
Source: RefSeq, a predicted model, not a curated record
GUGCGGCCCGGUUUAGGUGCACCAGAAGACAGCGGCACCGCACCGGGCGCAACUACCGCGUCCGUGCCGUGAUCCACUCCCCAUUGCCCCCCGACCCUCGUGCACGCGCAGAGUAAUCGGCUCAGAAACGCAGGCAGCCCAGCCCACGCCGCGAGGAAGCCUGAGGCCGAGAGAGGACUGAGCAAGCGUCCCGCGAGAAACUGGUGUUCCGGACCACCACGCGGAUGGGCUCGGGCGACCCGGCGGCCGACCCCCUUUCUUCCUUCCUCCGCCACCCCGGCGCGUUCUCCUUCUCCCGUCGCGUCGCCAUGGCGCGCGACGCCACCGCCACAUCCGUGCCAGCGCUCCGCCCCUGGAUCGUUGACCUCCUCCCGCUCCUCGUCGUCCUCCUCAUCGCCGCCCACGUCCUCGCCCUCGGUUACUGGAUCUACAGGCUCGCCACGGACGGGUCCAGGCAGCCCGCGCGGAGCAAGAAGCACUAAGGGGACGGCGCCCGCGGCCGGAUGCUUGAAACCAGUUUGUUAUUUCAGUCCUGCAUCCUUGGCUUGUUGAUCUCCAACCUUCCAACGUCAGAUGAUGGCGUGGAAAGUUCCUGAAAGAACUAGGACAGGGAACCGAUCUUAUCCAAUGGUUUGUUCAGAUGUUGGUGUCAAAAGUGACGAUAGCUGAAUAGCUGAUAUGUGGAAGGAGGCCCUUUUGAGCAUAAAUAGUUUUCGGUUGCUGGAUAGGUUUGACAUCUCUCGACCUCUCCGUGUAAAGAACAGUAGCUAGACAGAUGUGCCGUUUCAUAUGUUGUGGCCUGGUGGGCUUUUGUAAUUCAUGAGCAGCAUUUUAUUACUGGGCAAUUAAGUUAACGAGGCAUACUAUAAUGUUAUGAGAGAGAGCUAUCGAAUAUCGUCUAAGAGAAAUAAUAAGGAUCUAUAUAAACUAAUUUGGUUUUAUGCUUGAAAGAUAAACCAUAGAAGUCAUUUUCUUAAUAAGAUAAGUGGUGGAGGUGUAUGGAGAGUUAGACCGUGUCCAAUAGUUCACCUAUGUGAUCAUCUAAAACAAUGUAUUGUAUUAUAGACUGUAUUAUUCGUAGAGUUGAGUUUAAAUAUAGGUAUUAGGAUGGGUAAGCUGCUGGAGAUAGUCUUAGGGGUGUUUGUUUGGAAUUAUAAAAACAUGCCCUUAGUAAGAUAAGCAAUGAGGUAUAGGGACAAGGACCUAUAUGUAUGAUUUUCAUCAAUUUAGAGAGAGCUUAUGACAAAAUACUAAAAAAUGUUAUGUAGUGGGCUUUAGAUAAUCAUAAAGUUUUAAUGAAGUAUGUUGAACUCAUUAAUAAUAUUGUGACCAAUAUUCAACAAGUGAUGGGACACUGAUGACUUUCGUAUUAGAGUAAGACUAUAUCAAAGAUCAGUUUUGAGCCCUUAUCUUUUUGUCUUGGUGAUAGAUGAGGUCAAAGGGGUAUAUAAUUUCGGAUGAUAAAGUGGUACUUGAUGAAAACCUAAUAUGAGUAACUAUAAAUUAGAGUUCUUGUAGGGGACUUUAGAGUUUAAAGGUUUUAAGCUUAGCAGAACUAAAAUUAAAUACAUGAGAUGCGAUUUUAGUGCUACUACACAAAGGUAUAAGAAAGGAGACGCCGAUUUGGAGGGUCAAGUAGUACCCAAGAAGGAGAUCUUAGUUUGAAAGGUUAAGUAGUACCUCGAGGACUUAUUCUCUAGCUAGUACCCCACGAAACAAGGCGCUUUGGGGACAUUAUAUUUCAACCUUUGAGGUCCUAGGGCACUAAAGGCCCCAGUCCUCAUAUGCUUAGGUAGCCAGUUUGUCAGGUUCCACCCUCCCUCUCUUCCAUUUUUAGUUUCGCAACCUCCGACCCCACCUUCCCCCUUCCACCAGCCCUCUUCUCUAGUGUUGUGAUAUGACCUCGUUCCACUGCCGAAGAGCACGGUGGAGGAGGUAGCUCGCGCGUGGGCGAAGCAGCAGCAGAAGGACAAGAAAGACAGGGUGGAGAAGAAACGUAGGAGGACCGCACAUCAGAUGCACAGGGACCGUGGUGCCGAGACUGACUCGGCCGACGAGGACGAGGAUGAUGACGCGAGUGCAGGCUCCGAAUUCUGGGCCAUUCCGGAUACGUCCCUUGCUGCAUCGACACCGGAUUCCGUCUCGGCCUUUUUAGGCGGGGCGACAAGCGACUUCCCAAUCAUGGAGGAAGACGACUUCCCGGAACUCCCCGCCCUAUUCUUUGGGUCGAUGGCUUCGAUGGCACUCGUUUCCUUACCCGCCGAUCCUCUGGUCGACCGUCCAUCCGGGGCUGCUUGCACGGGGAGCUUGACUGCCUCGGGUCCGUCGGCGACUCUAGCUGGCGCACCUCUGGAGAUGUCUGCUCCUACUUCUGAAGCAGGCAGUGGGACCAUCGCUCCGCCCAGAUGCCCCAGAGGCACGGUGCCUUCCGUGGGGCAGAGGUUCGUGGGCGCGUGAUCAGUCGGGCGGGGACUUAUCGGUCCCAGCGAUUUGAUUUCUUAUGUCGUCAUAACUCCUGGUCUCCUUCAUUUUUCUCUUUUUUAACAGUCCCCAGCCUAUCGCCUUACUAUCGUGCGUGCGAAAGGUGAUUUCCAAGAGGAGGAUAGUGCCCACCGUCAGGGAGUGCGGUGGUGCCGUCAAGUUCUUCCCUACCAAUGUUUCCGCAAGGCGCCCCUAGGGUCAAGACCCUAGGUUUGUUUCGCUUGGCACCCCCGAGCUACUUGGGCUUAGCACGAGGGCGAUCGAGCUUUACCUUUCUAUUUUCUCUCCCUCUGUUUAGCCGACCUCGCCGGCACGAUGGAGACCGAAGGGGGAGAUUGUCUCUCCUUACUCGCGGGGAGCCUCAGAUUGUGUCGUCGGGGCUUGAUGAUCGAGCUGCGUCCGACUUGCUCUAGAUCUCUCUACUGAGGGCAACGACCCCCUAGCCCUGUGCAGAGAUUUGUGUGAGGAGGGCGAUGCGUGUGAGAGGGCGUUGUGAGACAACCUCGAUCAACUUUCAACCACGUACCGAAAACUUGUGGUAAGCCGUGUGUGGGUAGCUGGGUGCGGGAAACGUUCCUCCUGCUAAUCCCCUGUCAUCCGACUUUCACGUUUUCAAUCGUUCGCGGGGAUGCUGGCAGACAGGCUCCGCCUCCUACUGGACCAAAAUGUGGCAAGGGAGCGUUCCACUAGCGAUAUUCUGGUAGCGAGAAGCGAGGCCACCGAAGCCCGCGCUCGUGGCUACGUUGAUCUAGAAUGCUUACGAAAACCUGGUCGGUGCGACGAGUAGGGACAUGUAGUCGGCGACCCUCGCCUGCCUUGAAAGAGCAAAGGCGAACUCUCAUCUUCGCAUCCUGGAGUGAGGAAAAGCGGUUGCCAAGGCCUGGGGUCGUGGCCCUGGAAGAAGAGUUGAAUGGCCGAACCAAGAAAGAGACAUGCAAGGGAAAUCUGACGCCACCGAAGGGACUUCCUCGUGAUGUAGCACCGCUCGGAGGAACCGGAGAGGGAGAAGCUUCUCUUAUCGGAGGUGGUGAAUGCGAUGCAGGGACGCUUCAGGGUGCUUCCCACGCCUGAGUCAAAAUCGGUCGUCUCCCACCUUGAGGGCCUCGUCGGUUGGUUCUAGGAGCUCGAGAAGGAAUCCUUCUGCCAUGGGAUCUGCCAGGCUUUCGCCGUCGUAAUGUCUCACUAUGAAGGGGGAUCAAGCUGAAGGAGUUGAGCAAAGGCUAUUGCGACGCUUGGAGCGAUUCAGACUUUGCCGGCACGGUGAAGGCUCAACAGCCUUCCGCUUGUGAGCUUGGUGCAGCCCUACUCGAGAGUGCUCUACCUGGGGGAGCCAAGGUGGCCCUCGCCUUCGUGAUGACUACCGGAGAAGAAAGAGGGCCUUUCUCUCCUUGUGUCAUAUGAGACUCCUCACACUCGCCUGUGCCUACCAGCGCCUUGAGAGUGACUUUUCCCUUAAACGAUCUCGAAACCAGAACACGGUUGAUCGUUUGAAUAUUGUUCGCUGACAAUGAUAGGAUUCGUGGGGCACGCAGCAUGCCUUGGCCACAAUGAGCCUCCCUCGUGCUUGGCUUUACAUGCUUCGCCGGAAGCAUCGCGUCAAGCGACCUUUCCGACUUCAACCAUGGGACCUCCAUGUUGCUCAUGCGGUGUGAGGCUGAGGGCGCUGAGGGCCUCCGAUGCGGUGUUGGGGCCUUCAAACAAAGUUGGUCGGGUGGGCACCACCCUGACCAUGUUGCUUUCCCGGCCGAUGUCGAGGCAGGGUCCGCCGUCGGCCCUCGUUCCCUUGGGCAGAGAUCGGUUCUCCAUCGGUGAGCAUGGUAUGGGUGACUUAGAUAUUUUCUCAUUUCAAAUGCUUUUAAAGUCGAGAAAGUUGAUCCAACUCUUUUCACUAAGACUUAUAAUGGUGACUUGUGUAUAUGCUAAAUAUAUGUCGAUGAUAUACUAUUUGGUUCUACUAAUCAAGUUUUAUGAGGAGUUUAGCAAGGCGAUGAUGCAGAAAUUCGAGAUGUCGAUGAUGGGUGAGCUGACCUACUUCCUCGACUUUCAAGUAAAUAGCUUAAAUAAGGCAUCUUCAUCUCCCAAACGAAGUAUACAUAAGGCAUCCUUAAGAAGUUCGGGAUGAAGGAUGCAAAGCCCAUCAAGACGCCGAUGGGAAUGAAUGGACACUUGGAUCUCAACGCGGGAGGUAAGUCCGUAGAUCAAAAGGUAUACCAGUUUAUGAUAGGUUUCUUUAUUUAUGUGCAAGUAGACUGGAUAUUGUGCUUUCCAUAUGUUUAUGUGCUAGAUGUCAAUCCGACCCCAAGGAAUGUCACAUUGUGGCAGUGAAGCGAAUUCUAAGCUAUCUAGCUAGUUCGUUCAUACGCCUCACUUCAAGCUAUGGUAUCCUAAGGGGUCUACCUUGGACCUAACUGGAUAUUCGGAUUUCGAUUAUGUCGGGUGCAAGGUAGAUAGGCAGAGCAUAUCGGGGACAUGUCAUUUUUUAGGGAGGUCUCUGGUGUCAUGGAGCUCAAAGAAACAAAAUUCCUUUGUGUGAACUCUCAUUUCUAGACCAAGUUUGUGUUUUUAGUGACUAUUUUGCAGGAUCACAUAUUCACCUCCCUCUAGGUGCUCUCAAUAAUCACCAAAGCCACUCAACAAUCAUCUGGUGCCUCGAAGCCAUUUAGGUAGCAACAACCACCAGGAGUAACAUGAACCACACGACUCAAUAUGAUCACUAGUACUACUAAAUGCAACAAUUCAAUGUGAAUCACUAGAUAUCACUUUCAAUCUCUUUAUGGAUGAAUCACUACCAUUAGAAGUGAGCCAAAGAUAUUUUUGGGUUUACUAGGUUGUAUAUCAAGUUAGGAAGCCAUAAUGCUCACCCAAAACCUAGACAUGCUCUAUUUAUAAGGUCAUAUAUAAGGAGCACAUAAAAAAGUGCCUUUUUAGCGGGUGACAUAUUUGGAUCUCUAUAUAUAAUAUGUUUAGGUGCUCGCUGUUAGCACAUUGGACCCCGAAAGGCGAGUGCCUUGACAUGGAUGUUCCCCCGUUUAAUCUUCAGUUCCAGAUCCAUAGCCGUCAUAUAUAUCAAGAGCCAUGUGCCGUAUGUGCCUGGCUCUGGCUGUAUCACGCCAUGUGGCAGCCUAUAGCUCGGUACACUACUGCAAAAGUGUCGGCAACGCGUUGUUGCAUGACUGGAGCAUCAGCAGUUGAUCACACGCGGAAAGCGGCUUCUCCUUGUGUUUGCUUGUUGCUCUGCACAAACGGCCGUUUCUUUUUUUUUUUCUUUUAGGAAAAGAGAGAUGAAGAAAAGAAACAACGUAUAGAGAGCUACAGCGGAUUAAUCUCACGUACGGCAAUGCAGACAAGAGAGAGAGAGAGAGAGAGAGAGAGAGAGAGAGAGAGAGAGAGAGAGAGAGAGAGAGAGAGAGA